This 977-nucleotide ribosomal RNA is filed under the name uncultured Actinomycetes bacterium. Its description in RNAcentral is "bacterial SSU rRNA". It matches the Rfam family "Bacterial small subunit ribosomal RNA", at positions 61 to 1053 of the family's 1533-position model. The record is from RNAcentral. Lineage: Bacteria; Bacillati; Actinomycetota; Actinomycetes.
GUCGAACGGUGAACCGGGCUUCGGCCUGGGGAUCAGUGGCGAACGGGUGCGUAACACGUGGGCAACCUGCCUCAGACACUGGGAUAACCCCGGGAAACCGGGGCUAAUACCGGAUACUCCGACCGGACUGCAUGGUCCGGCCGGGAAAGCUCCGACGGUCUGAGAUGGGCCCGCGGCCUAUCAGCUUGUUGGCGGGGUAACGGCCCACCAAGGCGACGACGGGUAGCUGGUCUGAGAGGACGACCAGCCACACUGGAACUGAGACACGGUCCAGACUCCUACGGGAGGCAGCAGUGGGGAAUCUUGCGCAAUGGGCGAAAGCCUGACGCAGCGACGCCGCGUGGGGGAUGAAGGCCCUCGGUUUGUAAACCCCUUUCGGCAGGGACGAAGCGAACGUGACGGUACCUGCAGAAGAAGUCCCGGCUAACUACGUGCCAGCAGCCGCGGUAAGACGUAGGGGACGAGCGUUGUCCGGAUUCAUUGGGCGUAAAGAGCGCGUAGGCGGCUACGCAAGUCGGAUGUGAAAAUCCGGGGCUCAACCCCGGACCUGCAUCCGAUACUGCGUGGCUAGAGGUAGGUAGGGGAGAUCGGAAUUCCUGGUGUAGCGGUGAAAUGCGCAGAUAUCAGGAGGAACACCGGUGGCGAAGGCGGAUCUCUGGGCCUUACCUGACGCUCAGGCGCGAAAGCUAGGGGAGCGAACAGGAUUAGAUACCCUGGUAGUCCUAGCCGUAAACGUUGGGUGCUAGGUGUGGGUGGACAUCGACCCCAUCCGUGCCGAAGCUAACGCAUUAAGCACCCCGCCUGGGGAGUACGGCCGCAAGGCUAAAACUCAAAGGAAUUGACGGGGGCCCGCACAAGCGGCGGAGCAUGUGGCUUAAUUCGAUGUGACGCGAAGAACCUUACCUGGGCUUGACAUGCGGGGUGGAACCGUGAAACACGGCGCUCUUCGGAGCCCGCACAGGUGGUGCAUGGCUGUC